RNAcentral lists this ribosomal RNA (274 nucleotides) under uncultured bacterium. RNAcentral describes it as "partial 16S ribosomal RNA". It matches the Rfam family "Bacterial small subunit ribosomal RNA", at positions 523 to 796 of the family's 1533-position model. The record is from RNAcentral.
AUACGGAGGGUGCAAGCGUUAUUCGGAAUCACUGGGCGUAAAGGACACGUAGGCGGGAAGCCAAGUCUGAUGUGAAAUCCUAUGGCUCAACCAUAGAACUGCAUUGGAAACUGGUUACCUAGAGUAUGGGAGGGGGAGAUGGAAUUAGUGGUGUAGGGGUAAAAUCCGUAGAUAUCACUAGGAAUACCUAAAGCGAAGGCGAUCUCCUGGAACAUUACUGACGCUAAGGUGUGAAAGCGUGGGGAGCAAACGGGAUUAGAAACCCGAGUAGUCC